This 253-nucleotide ribosomal RNA is filed under the name uncultured bacterium. RNAcentral's name for it is "partial 16S ribosomal RNA". It matches the Rfam family "Bacterial small subunit ribosomal RNA", at positions 524 to 776 of the family's 1533-position model. The record is from RNAcentral.
UACGAAGGGGGCUAGCGUUGCUCGGAAUCACUGGGCGUAAAGGGUGCGUAGGCGGGUCUUUAAGUCAGGGGUGAAAUCCUGGAGCUCAACUCCAGAACUGCCUUUGAUACUGAGGAUCUUGAGUUCGGGAGAGGUGAGUGGAACUGCGAGUGUAGAGGUGAAAUUCGUAGAUAUUCGCAAGAACACCAGUGGCGAAGGCGGCUCACUGGCCCGAUACUGACGCUGAGGCACGAAAGCUAGGGUAGCGAACGGG